GACGUUUUCACGGCGGCUCUGACAGCCCGCAGUGAGUUGACAGUUCCUCACUUGUCCGCGCCAUUAAUGACGGCGCCAUACCUAGCUCCACUAUAUAUACCAGGGAAGGCAACAGUGCAAGGGAUCGAUCCGCCCGUCUCCCCCACAUACGCAGGCUCGCUCCUCCCCCUCACUCUCUCUUUCUCAGAGCUCUCUGUCUGCAUUUCACUGUUGCCCAGUCACCUCUCUGACUUGACCGUCGGAGGGUCCCCGACCGGAGCCGCCUCCGGUCAGUGCGGACUUCCUUUUGCAGGUGCACGCUCCCCGGCGAUCGGGCGACAAGGCGAU
RNAcentral lists this long non-coding RNA (327 nucleotides) under Elaeis guineensis (African oil palm). RNAcentral describes it as "long non-coding RNA (EGUI_LNC075216)". The record is from RNAcentral. Lineage: Eukaryota; Viridiplantae; Streptophyta; Magnoliopsida; Arecales; Arecaceae.